UGCGGCAGCUUACCAUGCAAGUCGAACGGUAGCACAAAGGAGCUUGCUCCUUGGGUGACGAGUGGCGGACGGGUGAGUAAUGCUUGGGAAUCUGACUUAUGGAGGGGGAUAACUACUGGAAACGGUAGCUAAUACCGCGUAAUGUCUGCGGACUAAAGGGUGGGACCUUCGGGCCACCUGCCAUAAGAUGAGCCCAAGUGGGAUUAGGUAGUUGGUGAGGUAACAGCUCACCAAGCCCGCGAUCUCUAGCUGGUCUGAGAGGAUGACCAGCCACACUGGAACUGAGACACGGUCCAGACUCCUACGGGAGGCAGCAGUGGGGAAUAUUGCACAAUGGGGGGAACCCUGAUGCAGCCAUGCCGCGUGAAUGAAGAAGGCCUUCGGGUUGUAAAGUUCUUUCGGUGACGAGGAAGGCGAUUGUUUUAAUAGAACAAUCGAUUGACGUUAAUCACAGAAGAAGCACCGGCUAACUCCGUGCCAGCAGCCGCGGUAAU
RNAcentral lists this ribosomal RNA (494 nucleotides) under uncultured bacterium. RNAcentral describes it as "bacterial SSU rRNA". It matches the Rfam family "Bacterial small subunit ribosomal RNA", at positions 39 to 524 of the family's 1533-position model. The record is from RNAcentral.